GUUAUAGGGUCAAGCGAACAAGUGCAUGUGGUGGAUGCCUUGGCGAUCACAGGCGAUGAAGGACGCGGUAGCCUGCGAAAAGCCCCGGGGAGCUGGCAAACAAGCUUUGAUCCGGGGAUGUCCGAAUGGGGAAACCCACUCCUUUUGGAGUAUCCAUGACUGAAUACAUAGGUCAUGUGAAGCGAACGCGGUGAACUGAAACAUCUAAGUAACCGCAGGAAAAGAAAUCAACCGAGAUUCCCAAAGUAGUGGCGAGCGAAAUGGGAUGAGCCUUGUACUCUUUAUUUGUAUUGUUAGCCGAACGCUCUGGAAAGUGCGGCCAUAGCAGGUGAUAGCCCUGUAGGCGAAAACAGUAUGAAAGAACUAGGUGUACGACAAGUAGGGCGGGACACGUGAAAUCCUGUCUGAAGAUGGGGGGACCAUCCUCCAAGGCUAAAUACUCGUGAUCGACCGAUAGUGAACCAGUACCGUGAGGGAAAGGCGAAAAGAACCCCGGGAGGGGAGUGAAAUAGAUCCUGAAACCGCAUGCAUACAAACAGUCGGAGCCUCGUAAGGGGUGACGGCGUACCUUUUGUAUAAUGGGUCAGCGACUUACGUUCAGUAGCAAGCUUAACCGUAUAGGGCAGGCGUAGCGAAAGCGAGUCCGAAUAGGGCGUUCAGUUGCUGGGCGUAGACCCGAAACCAGGUGAUCUAUCCAUGGCCAGGAUGAAGGUGCGGUAACACGUACUGGAGGUCCGAACCCACUAACGUUGAAAAGUUAGGGGAUGAGCUGUGGAUAGGGGUGAAAGGCUAAACAAACCUGGAAAUAGCUGGUUCUCUCCGAAAACUAUUUAGGUAGUGCCUCGUGUCUCACCUUCGGGGGUAGAGCACUGUCAUGGUUGGGGGGUCUAUUGCAGAUUACCCCGCCAUAGCAAACUCCGAAUACCGAAGAGUGCAAUCACGGGAGACAGACAUCGGGUGCUAACGUCCGGUGUCAAGAGGGAAACAACCCAGACCGCCAGCUAAGGUCCCCAAAUAUGGCUAAGUGGGAAACGAAGUGGGAAGGCUAAAACAGUCAGGAGGUUGGCUUAGAAGCAGCCACCCUUUAAAGAAAGCGUAAUAGCUCACUGAUCGAGUCGUCCUGCGCGGAAGAUGUAACGGGGCUAAGCCAUAUACCGAAGCUGCGGAUGCGUGCUUGCACGCAUGGUAGGAGAGCGUUCCGUAAGCCUGCGAAGGUGCCUUGUAAA
Molecule: ribosomal RNA, 1226 nt
Filed under: Burkholderia multivorans
Lineage: Bacteria; Pseudomonadati; Pseudomonadota; Betaproteobacteria; Burkholderiales; Burkholderiaceae
Description: bacterial LSU rRNA
Rfam family: Bacterial large subunit ribosomal RNA
Source: RNAcentral